This 269-nucleotide unclassified non-coding RNA is filed under the name plant metagenome. RNAcentral describes it as "partial contains small subunit ribosomal RNA, internal transcribed spacer 1, and 5.8S ribosomal RNA". The record is from RNAcentral.
UUUCCGUAGGUGAACCUGCGGAAGGAUCAUUAAUGAGUUGUCAUGGGGUUCGAUGCUGGCAGCCAAUUUUUGGAUGCAUGUGCUUGCCCUAACAAUCAUCUUCCAAACACCUGUGUACAUUUUUGAGGGAGUCUUGAGUUGGUUGCCGCUCUUGGGUGAUUUUCUCACAUUCCCUUAAAUCAUUAUACGCUAUUAACAAUGUUGAACGUGCUCUGUGCCGCAAGGCUAUUAAUAUAAUACAACUUUUAACAACGGAUCUCUUGGCUCUC